UGCGUAGGCGGACUAAUAAGUCAGUGGUGAAAUCUUGCAGCUUAACUGUAAAACUGCCAUUGAUACUGUUAGUCUUGAAUUUAGUUGAGGUAGGCGGAAUGUAUUGUGUAGCGGUGAAAUGCAUAGAUAUAAUACAGAACACCGAUUGCGAAGGCAGCUUACUAAGCUAUAAUUGACGCUGAUGCACGAAAGCGUGGGUAGCGAACAGGAUUAGAUACCCUGGUAGUC
RNAcentral lists this ribosomal RNA (228 nucleotides) under uncultured bacterium. Its description in RNAcentral is "partial 16S ribosomal RNA". It matches the Rfam family "Bacterial small subunit ribosomal RNA", at positions 568 to 795 of the family's 1533-position model. The record is from RNAcentral.